GCUGGCGGCGUGCCUAAUACAUGCAAGUCGAACGCUCGAAGUUGAAGAGCUUGCUCUUGAACCAAGUGAGUGGCGGACGGGUGAGUAACACGUGGGUGACCUGCCCAUUAGAGGGGGAUAACAUUCGGAAACGGAUGCUAAUACCGCAUAGUUUCAGGAAUCGCAUGAUUCUUGAAGGAAAGGUGGCUUCGGCUUCCACUAAUGGAUGGACCCGCGGCGUAUUAGCUAGUUGGUGAGGUAAUGGCUCACCAAGGCAAUGAUACGUAGCCGACCUGAGAGGGUGAUCGGCCACACUGGGACUGAGACACGGCCCAGACUCCUACGGGAGGCAGCAGUGGGGAAUCUUCCGCAAUGGACGAAAGUCUGACGGAGCGACGCCGCGUGAGUGAAGAAGGUUUUCGGAUCGUAAAACUCUGUUGUUAAAGAAGAACCAGGAUGAGAGUCACUGCUCAUCCCUGACGGUAUUUAACCAGAAAGCCACGGCUAACUACGUGCCAGCAGCCGCGGUAAUACGUAGGUGGCGAGCGUUGUCCGGAUUUAUUGGGCGUAAAGCGAGCGCAGGCGGUUCUUUAAGUCUUAUGUGAAAGCCCCCGGCUCAACCGGGGAGGGUCAUUGGAAACUGGAGAACUUGAGUGCUGAAGAGGAGAGUGGAAUUCCACGUGUAGCGGUGAAAUGCGUAGAUAUGUGGAGGAACACCAGUGGCGAAGGCGACUCUCUGGUCUGUAACUGACGCUGAGGCUCGAAAGCGUGGGGAGCAAACAGGAUUAGAUACCCUGGUAGUCCACGCCGUAAACGAUGAGUGCUAAGUGUUGGAGGGUUUCCGCCCUUCAGUGCUGCACUAACGCAUUAAGCACUCCGCCUGGGGAGUACGGCCGCAAGGCUAAAACUCAAAGGAAUUGACGGGGACCGCACAAGCGGUGGAGCAUGUGGUUUAAUUCGAAGCAACGCGAAGAACCUUACCAGGUCUUGACAUCCACCGACCACUCUAGAGAUAGAGCUUUCCUUCGGGGACAAAGUGACAGGUGGUGCAUGGUUGUCGUCAGCUCGUGUCGUGAGAUGUUGGGUUAAGUCCCGCAAUCCCGCAACGAGCGCNACCCUUAUUACUAGUUGCCAGCAUUUAGUUGGGCACUCUAGUGAGACUGCCGGUGACAAACCGGAGGAAGGUGGGGAUGACGUCAAAUCAUCAUGCCCCUUAUGACCUGGGCUACACACGUGCUACAAUGGAUGGUACAACGAGUCGCAAGGUCGCGAGGCCAAGCUAAUCUCUUAAAGCCAUUCUCAGUUCGGAUUGUAGGCUGCAACUCGCCUCCAUGAAGCCGGAAUCGCUAGUAAUCGCGGAUCAGAACGCCGCGGUGAAUACGUUCCCGGGCCUUGUACACACCGCCCGUCACACCACGAGAGUUUGUAACACCC
This 1413-nucleotide ribosomal RNA is filed under the name Carnobacterium maltaromaticum. RNAcentral describes it as "bacterial SSU rRNA". It matches the Rfam family "Bacterial small subunit ribosomal RNA". The record is from RNAcentral. Lineage: Bacteria; Bacillati; Bacillota; Bacilli; Lactobacillales; Carnobacteriaceae.